This is an RNA transcript of Musa acuminata AAA Group (dessert banana), 3301 nucleotides long. It is a transcript of the gene named 1-aminocyclopropane-1-carboxylate synthase 6-like, with no coding region annotated. Lineage: Eukaryota; Viridiplantae; Streptophyta; Magnoliopsida; Zingiberales; Musaceae. The record is from RefSeq and is a predicted model, not a curated record. The transcript has 5 exons.
ACCCUCACACUGCCCUCCUCAGCUCCCUCCUUUACCUCCUCCUUAAAGCACAACCACAUUCAAGCAGACGAAUUGUUAUAAAAGAGUGUGGCCAACGGCGACGCUUCCUUCUAUGUUUACAAAUACAAUGCAAACCAAGAAGGUAUAAAAUAAUCUCGCCCCUCUUCCUCCCGUCGAUGAGCCCAACCCCCUCCAAGAAAUCCGCCGACGCCGCCGCAGCCGCAGCCACAGCGACCCAAGCCCGGUCGUCCGCAACCGGCCUCGGCGGUGGAGGGGGCGGCGCGGGCAUGCGGCUCAUCGUACCUCUCCAGGGCGUCGUCCAGGGUCGCGGCGGCCUCGUCCUCGGCACCCUCAUCCCCUGCGCCCUCUUCUACUUCCUCCAGUUCUACCUCAGGCGCAACCGCUCUCCUCCUCCUACUUCGCCGCAACCCCCCGCUGCCAACGGCCCCGAUCUCCCCGGCAUCGUCCGGUCCUCCUCCCGCAACUUCCUCUCCGCCCGCGGCUCCUCCGGCCACGCCGCCGUCUCCUCCCGCGCGGCCUCGAUCGCCAGAUCCGGCGAUUCGCCUUACUUCGUCGGGACUAAGAAGUGCUCCGAGGACCCUUACCAUCCCGUCGAUAACCCCGACGGCGUCAUACAGCUUGGGUUGGCCGAGAACCGCUUGUCUUUGGAUCUAAUUGGGGACUGGCUUGCGAGAAAUGUGACGGAUACCCUACUCGACGAGCGGCAGGGUGGGCUGAGCAUCAGCGGAUUGGCGACGUACCAGCCUUUUGAUGGGUUGGUGGAAUUGAAGAUGGCUGUGGUUGAAUUUAUGGGACAAGUCAUGCAAGGGUCAGUCUCGUUUGAUCCAUCGCAAAUAAUAAUGACAGCUGGCGCAACUCCAGCAAUUGAAAUUCUCAGUUUCUGCCUGGCAGAUGCUGGAAAUGCAUUUCUUGUUCCUUCACCGUAUUACCCAGGGUACGACAGGAAUAUAAGAUGGCGAGCUGGCAUAGAGUUGAUACCUGUUCCAUGUCGAAGCACUGACAACUUUGGUUUAAGUAUUCCUGCACUCGAAAGAGCAUACAAUCAGGCAAAAAUGCGAGGUGUCAAAGUGCGAGCUGUUCUUUUCUCAAACCCCUCCAACCCUGUGGGCAAUCUUCUGCACAGGGAAACAUUACGAGACCUUCUUGACUUUGUUACGGAGAAGGGCAUUCAUGUCAUUGCUGAUGAAGUGUUCGCAGGGUCAACCCAUGGUACUGAGGAUUUUGUGAGCAUGGCGGAAGUUUUAAACACAGAUGAGUUUGAUAGAAGCAGGGUUCACAUAGUAUAUGGCUUGUCAAAAGAUCUCUCCGUCCCAGGCUUUCGGAUCGGUCUCAUCUACUCUUUUAACGAACAUGUCAUUGCGGCUGCCUCGAAGCUGGCAAGGUUCUCCUCUGUUUCUGUUCCAACCCAGCACUUGCUCAUCUCGAUGCUUAAUGACACUAAGUUCAUCACACAAUAUAUCAAGACGAACAGAGAGAGACUCCGAGUAAUGUAUGCAUUGUUAGUGAAUGGCCUUAAACAGUUGGGUGUUGAGAGUGUCAAAAGCAGUGGUGGUUUUUACUGUUGGACGGAUAUGAGCAAAUUUAUGAAAUCAUACAGUGAGAAAGGGGAGCUUGAGCUAUGGAAGGAGAUGCUUAAUGUGGCUAAGAUUCAUUUAACACCUGGAACGGCAUGCCAUUGCAUUGAACCUGGAUGGUUUCGUUUAUGCUUCACAACAUUGACUGAGAAGGAUGUGCCUGUAGUUUUGGAACGCAUCAAGAGAGUUGUUGAUAACCAUUGAGUCUACUAAAGCAGAAAGGUAGAGGUCUUUGGUACAAAGAUGUUCAUAAGGCUGGAAAGUCGAUCACAUCCAGUCUCUUUCAGUAGUCUCGUAUCCUCUCCAGGGUUGUCAUCAAUUUUGGUAGUGUAGGCUUCGCUUCAUGCUUCUCUUCUCCUUGCUGAUGUAACUACAUCAAGGUGCACCACUACUCGUGCAGAGACCUCUUGGUGAAGAGAUUUCUUUUCACUUACCAGCUGCUAAUAUAUGCUCUCAUCUUGUUACCAUUUGCAAUGAACGGAAAGCAUGUAAGCACCCUCUUCUUUAGGUAAUCCUGUGAUGGACAAAUUGGUUUAGAAUGUUUAUUAGCCUACACGCAAUGGAUCAUUUUGGCAAGUUAAUGCACCCAUUGCACUCUCCAAGGAUGAUGGAUGGAUAUACUACAAGCAAUCAUUUACCUUUGGGUGCUCUCUCUUCCUGCCUUCGUUUUGCUUCCUUCUGCAGCUUAGCUUGCGACUCAGCAGUAUGAGCUCCCCGAGUGUCAGCCCCCUCCUUGCCAUGCCUGCGUGUUCGCUGCUGCAUUGGUUUGGGCCACGGCGAGCAGCCACAGCAGAUGGAGCUUCGUCUUCCCCGCUGGGCAGCGGGAAAAGGAACUGAAUCACCGAAGUGUCUGUGCCCACCUCCGCUGCCUCUGAGCUGCUCGAGCUGCUGUGCCCAUCCGUUCCCGAUACAGAGUGCCAGUCCUCGUUCCGGUAGGAGCCGUUCUCGCUAAAGCUCUCCCACGCAGCAGUCACAUCAGCGAAAGACGGGUCUGCUUUGUCGUCCUUCUUGAAAGAAAAGGCUUCGAGGUAAGAAUCCAUGGCGCCUCCCUCCGUUUCAUCGACGAAGGGAUUCAGGGGACCAGACCUCUCAUCGACAAAAGGGUUCAGGUGACAGCUCGACGCAGGACGAGGAUCCAACCCAUUCAGAUCGCCGGCAGUCAACAAGUCCGGCACGGUGGGAGGAAUCUGGAUUGGCUUCCCGGGCUUCUCUUCCCAUUCGAAGGGGACGGAAACCACGAGUCUCGUCGGCGGCGAAGACGAGAUCACGGGGACUCUCUUCGGUACGCCGGGUUUCUCUUCCCAAAGAUACGGGACGGUGAUCUGCUGCUUCUCUCGCUGCCGAGGACGCGACGCAGAGGACUCCUCACUCUCCUCCGCCAUGGUCGGUAGGUUCGAAAACUCGUUGCAUGCUCGUCCACGCCGUGGACACGAGUAGAUAUAGGAAAAGCUUUGUUGGAUUCGACGAAGCUGUUCCACGAUCGAAAUGUUCUCGCUCAACUGUACCAAUUGGCGUGGCCAUAGCCAUCGCAGACCCAACCCACUUUCCCACCUGCCCAAAUUAACAGUUACGACACUAAAAAAAGGGCAAAAUUUCAAGUAGGUUUAGUUAUAUAUCGAUCGAUGUUGGAUCAUAUAAAUUCAUAUUCAUUAUUUUCUUAAAUGAUUUCCGAUGGUAUACAUCGAUAUAUCAGUGUAUAAACAUUA